GGGGAGAGCCAGAUCCUGGGCUGUGUCCCCAGCGCCCUGGGCUCCUGGGCAUGCACAGCUGGAAUCCCGCUCCUGGGGCUGCACAGCUCCUU
RNAcentral lists this microRNA precursor (92 nucleotides) under Canis lupus familiaris (dog). RNAcentral's name for it is "mir-8799 microRNA precursor family". It matches the Rfam family "mir-8799 microRNA precursor family". The record is from Rfam by way of RNAcentral. Lineage: Eukaryota; Metazoa; Chordata; Mammalia; Carnivora; Canidae.